AACUACCUUUAGAUGCUGUGACUCAUUAGCUGGCCCGAGAAAAACAAGUCAGAAGACAAUGAAAAAAGAGUUAGUGCCUAUAUGUGAAGAACUGUCGGGGUGGCCUAUUCAAAGGAAGAAAGCUUGGUGAAUUGGAAAAACGGAGCACCCAUAUGAGACACCAGGAAUAAAAGGGCACAGAGGAAAGAUCAUGUGAAGACACAGGAAGAAGGAGCCAUCUCUGGUGGAGGCCACAGAUAUGGAACCCACUCAUUCAGAGGGCCAACUACCAUUGAGCCUUCAGUCUGUCCAGAAAGGAGCUGGGAAGUUGAGGAUGAAGCCAUCAGCUGGUGUAAUGUCUGGGAAAGGCUUGAUCUCUGCUUCAGGAUGAUGCCUUGUUUCUCUGUCCUCACAUGGAACAAAGUAGGAGGACAAAGAAGUUGUGUCCCCCAUUGGAAAAGGGACAAGAAGACCAAAAAAGACUAAGAGAUCCCAUUUAAUGUCUUUUAUAAGAGCAUUAAUUCCAUGCACAAAGGCAAAGGCCUCAAGGCCUAAUCAUGUCCCAAGGGACCCACCUCUUAAUAUCAUCCACUUGGGGGAGCUGAAUUCCUAUAGAUGCAUUUUGGAAGAACACAGCCAUGCCAACUCCAGUACCUAACAACAUACAAGAAUGAGGAGAGUGGUUCUAAUUUCUGAUUUCCACUAGUUGAUAUAAAUGUGAAGGAUUCCUUAACUAUGAGAAAGGAGAGAAAUAGAUUCAGAAGGAUAAAGCCCAUGUUAAAAACAUU
This 767-nucleotide long non-coding RNA is filed under the name Heterocephalus glaber (naked mole-rat). RNAcentral's name for it is "lncRNA (ENSHGLG00000033134.1)". The record is from RNAcentral. Lineage: Eukaryota; Metazoa; Chordata; Mammalia; Rodentia; Bathyergidae.